Molecule: ribosomal RNA, 813 nt
Filed under: uncultured bacterium
Lineage: Bacteria
Description: bacterial SSU rRNA
Rfam family: Bacterial small subunit ribosomal RNA
Source: RNAcentral
ACACAUGCAAGUCGAACGAUGAAACCUAGCUUGCUAGGUGGAUUAGUGGCGCACGGGUGAGUAAUAUAUAGAUAACGUGCCUCUUAGUCUGGGAUAGCCAUUGGAAACGAUGAUUAAUACUGGAUACUCCUUCUCUUUAUAAUAAGAGUUGGGAAAGUUUUUCGCUAAGAGAUCGGUCUAUAUCCCAUCAGCUUGUUGGUAGUGUAAGAGACUACCAAGGCAAUGACGGGUAGCGGGUUUGAGAGGAUGAUCCGCCACACUGGUACUGAGACACGGACCAGACUCCUACGGGAGGCAGCAGUGAGGAAUAUUGCACAAUGGAGGAAACUCUGAUGCAGCAACGCCGCGUGGAGGAUGACGCAUUUCGGUGUGUAAACUCCUUUUAUAGGUCAAGAAAAUGACGGUAGCCUAUGAAUAAGCACCGGCUAACUCCGUGCCAGCAGCCGCGGUAAUACGGAGGGUGCAAGCGUUAUUCGGAAUCACUGGGCGUAAAGGACACGUAGGCGGGAAGCCAAGUCUGAUGUGAAAUCCUACAGCUUAACUGUAGAACUGCAUUGGAAACUGGUUACCUAGAGUAUGGGAGGGGGAGAUGGAAUUAGUGGUGUAGGGGUAAAAUCCGUAGAUAUCACUAGGAAUACCUAAAGCGAAGGCGAUCUCCUGGAACAUUACUGACGCUAAGGUGUGAAAGCGUGGGGAGCAAACGGGAUUAGAUACCCCGGUAGUCCACGCCCUAAACGAUGUUCACUAGUCGUCGGGAUGCUAGUCAUCUCGGUGAUGCACUUAACAGAUUAAGUGAACCGCCUGGGGAGUACG